UUUUUGUGGUCCGGUGUACUUCGCCAGGCAGAUUUUUCUAUUUCUAUUUUUGGUUGCAUUUAAAAUUCCUGCCAGCUGGCUUUAUUGAAACAUCUUCCUUUCAAAAAAAAAAGAAGAAGAAUCUUUUGUUUUUAACUUCUCAGAUGCUUCACUGGAGGUCUUAAAUAGAUCUCUAAUCUGUUAAAAUUGGAGGACAGUUAUUGGGCUGCAGUGUGUGUGUGUGUGUGUGUGUGUGUGUGUGUGUGUGUGUGUGUGUGUGUGUGUGUGUGUGCGCCCCAGUUCCGUCUCCGUGGAUGUUUCAUCCUUCAGAUAUCAUGUGCUGCCUGCGUGCAGGGUGUCUUGUUUUCAUGGCCAUUUGUCUCUGUGUCAGAAGGAAAGCUCUAUCAUGUGAUCGACCCAUUCAUCCUAAUACCCUUACAGUCUCCUCAUGCUUAUCAAGCACACGUCGGUCUGCUUCUGCAAAAAUGCUCCCUCUGUCCCAUCUUGCUUUAUCAUGGCAGGCCCGCUGUGCAGGAUUGCGGUUUGGAAGGACCGUUCGGGAAGCGAGACGGCCAUGACGAUGUCCUGGGCGGGAUGGAAAAUCCAACAAAGCAAAAAGGGGUUUAGCCCAGCCCAGCCUAGUCAGCUGCAGCCCAGUGAAUCAUUUAUGACUGAGCGGGAAUGGGAACACAUCCCAGUAUCCCCGCCUGCUUUUCUCUUUUGAAUUUUUUUUUUUUUCUCCAACUGUCAGCGAAGGGAGCCGUUGAACAACAGGCUGCUGGUGAAAUUGAAAGAUUGAAUAGUCCAGAUCCCAGUGCUGGCUGUACGCCGUAUAUAAAUGCAGAGAUCUUACUUGUGUUCGAUGCCUCAAAGGCAAAGCCGGACAAGAUGGCUCUUUUCUUUCAUGUCCCGUUUGUUUUCCAGCAGAUGUUUUUCAGCUGCGAUUCCUUUGUUUUGUGUGAAGAGGCGGCGCUCCACCAACAGAGGGCGCUGCUGCAGCAGCUUCAUUGUGGCUGUGGUGUGCGGGCCUUGGCCUGCAGUGAGCGGGGAGGCUCACGUAGGAUCAGAGGUCCCUCUCUAUCCUGUAAACAAUCCGGUGUGAGUGAUCACCUAAAAAAAAAAAAAAAUAGGCCUUUUCAUUUCAUACAGGACUCCUCACUCAUACUCAACGUUGUGUUUUUCCAUCAUCCCUUUCCUCUAAAUGAGCCAUGAGCAGGGUUGUCCAGCUGGAUCUUGAAGACAAAACCGUGCACACAGAAAGAUAUGUGAAGAGAGAAAAAGAGAGCGAGAGAGAGAGAAAAAAAAAAGAAAGAGGGCUCUGUUGCUGAGGUCACCACAGAAGCAUUAGGAGCGCGUUCUCUAGUGCCUCCAGACUCCAGAGCUCCGCGGAGCACGCGGACGCUUUCCAGGUCUGCUGUGGAGGGAGGCGCAGGAGGGAGGAGGAGGCCGGGUGUGCAGUGGAAGUGUGCAGUGGCGGAGUCCAUUUAUAGCAGCUGAGACUCCAGGAGCAGGGAGUGCAUCAGUUCAAGCCCCGGAGUGUCUGGAAAAUCCCAGAAUAAUUGUCACUCUCCAGCCUCCUCCGCCUCCUCUCUCUCUCUCUCUCUCUUUCAUUUCUCUCUGUCUCUCUCUCACACCCUCCUUCUCCCCACUCUUCCUCCCUCCCUCCCUCCCCCCUUCCUUUUUUACUAUCUCAUUCUCUUUUGCCUCCCUCUCCCCUUUUUCCCCAUUUCCGUCUACCUCUCCCUCAGUCUCGCUCUCCUUCUUUCUUUCACUCUCACCCUCUCAUCAUCGUGAGCCGUGUGUGUGUGUGUGUGUGUGUGUGUGUGUGUGUAGCACUGCACCGUGUGGCAGUUCAUUUCACAGCCAAAAUAACUCAUCUGUUACAGUGCAUAUUGAGCGACUCCGUGCAUAUGGACCAAACCUUUCAGCCUCCAUUCGAGCGAGUCAUUUUGAUUGGUGAUGUGCGGGGCCAUAGAGAGACAGGGAGAGCCAGAUGGCUUCCAGAGGCAGCUGUGUCCUCUGGCCGACUGAGUCGAGAGGCCCGAUGCGUGGAUCCGCGUCUCUGGAGUGGAGCCGCGGCCUGGCCGGUAGCUGAGGGCUGAGAGCAGUCUCACCAUGCAGCCCAGACAGGCCUGGUCCUGCCCCCUCUCACACACACCCUCUCACAGACUCGCACAGUGCUGCUCAACUAGGAAAUUAGCCCAGGAGAGAAAGAGGCACUAUAGGAAAUAGAUGCUGAGGAGGGGGACAGGAAUGAAACCUGAUGAGAGAUAGAGC
This is a long non-coding RNA of Clupea harengus (Atlantic herring), 2256 nucleotides long. The record is from Ensembl. Lineage: Eukaryota; Metazoa; Chordata; Actinopteri; Clupeiformes; Clupeidae.